UGCUGGUUAGGUGAAUGAUAAGAAAUUCAGAUUUUGAAUUUGAAUUUAAUGAGCCAGGUUUACUACCCCAUUCUUGAGGUUUAGGGAUAGGAUAGUGACUGAUUUAGCCCAUAGGUCUGGCUUCAGGAGGUAGAUAUGAAGUAACAAGGCAAACCAAUGGCUAAUCCAAGUACCAGCUUUGAUUCUUAUCAUCAUGGAGC
RNAcentral lists this long non-coding RNA (200 nucleotides) under Elaeis guineensis (African oil palm). RNAcentral describes it as "long non-coding RNA (EGUI_LNC027483)". Lineage: Eukaryota; Viridiplantae; Streptophyta; Magnoliopsida; Arecales; Arecaceae. The record is from RNAcentral.